GAUGAAGAACGUAGCGAAAUGCGAUAAGUAAUGUGAAUUGCAGAAUUCCGUGAAUCAUCGAAUCUUUGAACGCACAUUGCGCCCUCUGGUAUUCCGGAGGGCAUGCCUGUCCGAGCGUCAUUGCAAACCCUCAAGCCCGGCUUGCGUGAUGGGCUCUAGCGUCUGCUCCCCCUGGGGCAGACGGGCCCGAAAGAUAGCGGCAGCGUUAUAUGAUGCUACAGUGUAUGGGGAUUCUUCAUCACGCACUGUUCGGUGUCCGUGGCGCUCGCCCCCCUCUGUCACCUCACGGUUUGACCUCGGAUCAGGUAGGGAUACCCGCUGAACUUAAGCAUAUCAAUAAGCGGAGGA
Molecule: unclassified non-coding RNA, 348 nt
Filed under: soil metagenome
Description: partial contains 5.8S ribosomal RNA, internal transcribed spacer 2, and large subunit ribosomal RNA
Rfam family: 5.8S ribosomal RNA (bases 1-120)
Source: RNAcentral